This is a long non-coding RNA of Chelonia mydas (Green sea turtle), 461 nucleotides long. RefSeq lists it as uncharacterized. The transcript has 2 exons. The record is from RefSeq and is a predicted model, not a curated record. Lineage: Eukaryota; Metazoa; Chordata; Testudines; Cheloniidae.
CAGGGCCACAAGGCCUCCAGCAGGGGACCUCAGAGCCUAGUCCACCCCAUCACAAUCAGACAACAGCAUUUUAACCAACCCAAUAUUCUCUAAACCUGCUCAGACAAUGAGGUGGUUAAAAUGCUGGUGGCUACUGGCACCUUACGUACACUAAAGCUUCCACCAUUUCUACUGCAGAUGAAGCUGCACUGGAGACAUCACUGGAGAAUGCUUUUCAGACUGUAUAUUGUCUUUAUCACCUAACUGCAACCAUCAUACUGCCUCGUGAACACAUGUGCUGGCAAAACAUCAGGAACUGGAGAAUCAAAGUUUAAAAAAAGAUACUACUCACAAUGAAGAACAGGAGACAGGAUUUGGGUGGAGAAACACUGUAAUGGGUGACAUUCACAUGUUUCCUUGCUUUUGUUUAUAUUUUGUGAAUGAGAUCUUUCAAAAUAAAUGGGAUUUUGAGGAAAUUGUAA